CGAGGCGCCACUGGAGAGUAGCGGCGCGUGCCGCUCACCGAAGGGGGAAGCCGGCGCACGCCGGUGACGCUCUCAGGUACACAGACAGUGGGGACGGU
RNAcentral lists this non-coding RNA (98 nucleotides) under Micromonospora avicenniae. Its description in RNAcentral is "Glycine sequence". It matches the Rfam family "Glycine riboswitch aptamer". Rfam says of the family: This family represents the bacterial glycine riboswitch. The record is from Rfam by way of RNAcentral. Lineage: Bacteria; Bacillati; Actinomycetota; Actinomycetes; Micromonosporales; Micromonosporaceae.